Molecule: ribosomal RNA, 468 nt
Filed under: uncultured bacterium
Lineage: Bacteria
Description: partial 16S ribosomal RNA
Rfam family: Bacterial small subunit ribosomal RNA
Source: RNAcentral
GACGAACGCUGGCGGCGUGCUUAACACAUGCAAGUCGAACGGAAAGGCCCUGCUUUUGUGGGGUGCUCGAGUGGCGAACGGGUGAGUAACACGUGAGUAACCUGCCCUUGACUUUGGGAUAACUUCAGGAAGCUGGGGCUAAUACCGGAUAGGAGCUCCUGCUGCAUGGUGGGGGUUGGAAAGUUUCGGCGGUUGGGGAUGGACUCGCGGCUUAUCAGCUUGUUGGUGGGGUAGUGGCUUACCAAGGCUUUGACGGGUAGCCGGCCUGAGAGGGUGACCGGCCACAUUGGGACUGAGAUACGGCCCAGACUCCUACGGGAGGCAGCAGUGGGGAAUAUUGCACAAUGGGCGGAAGCCUGAUGCAGCAACGCCGCGUGCGGGAUGACGGCCUUCGGGUUGCAAACCGCUUUCGCCUGUGACGAAGCGUGAGUGACGGUAAUGGGUAAAGAAGCACCGGCUAACUACGUG